Molecule: ribosomal RNA, 610 nt
Filed under: Erysiphe iranica
Lineage: Eukaryota; Fungi; Ascomycota; Leotiomycetes; Helotiales; Erysiphaceae
Description: Erysiphe sp. HD-2021a partial large subunit ribosomal RNA
Rfam family: Eukaryotic large subunit ribosomal RNA
Source: RNAcentral
CUGGCUCCUCUGGAGUCCGAGUUGUAAUUUGUAGAAGAUGCUUUGGGUGAUGGGUUCGGCCUAAGUUCCUUGGAACAGGACGUCAUAGAGGGUGAGAAUCCCGUAUGUGGCCGAGGCCCACGCCUAUGUAAAGCUCUUUCAACGAGUCGAGUUGUUUGGGAAUGCAGCUCAAAAUGGGUGGUAAAUUUCAUCUAAAGCUAAAUAUGGGCCAGAGACCGAUAGCGCACAAGUAGAGUGAUCGAAAGAUGAAAAGCACUUUGGAAAGAGAGUUAAACAGUACGUGAAAUUGUUGAAAGGGAAGCGCUUGCACCCAGACUUGGGCGCUGCUGAUCACCUUGCGGUCUCCGCGAGUGCACUCGACAGCGCACAGGCCAGCAUCGGUUCGGGUGGCUGGAUAAAGGCUGUAGGAACGUAGCUCCCUCCGGGGAGUGUUAUAGCCUACGGUGCCAUGCAGCCCAGCCGGACCGAGGACCGCGCCUUCGGGCUAGGAUGCUGGCGUAAAUGGGUGUAAGCGACCCGUCUUGAAACACGGACCAAGGAGUCUAACAUCUAUGCGAGUGUUUGGGUGGUAAACCCAUACGCGGAAUGAAAGUGAAUGUAGGUGAGAACC